This 548-nucleotide ribosomal RNA is filed under the name uncultured bacterium. RNAcentral describes it as "bacterial SSU rRNA". It matches the Rfam family "Bacterial small subunit ribosomal RNA", at positions 355 to 894 of the family's 1533-position model. The record is from RNAcentral.
UAGGGAAUCUUCGGCAAUGGGGGCAACCCUGACCGAGCAACGCCGCGUGAGUGAAGAAGGUUUUCGGAUCGUAAAGCUCUGUUGUAAGUCAAGAACGAGUGUGAGAGUGGAAAGUUCACACUGUGACGGUAGCUUACCAGAAAGGGACGGCUAACUACGUGCCAGCAGCCGCGGUAAUACGUAGGUCUCGAGCGUUGUCCGGAUUUAUUGGGCGUAAAGCGAGCGCAGGCGGUUUGAUAAGUCUGAAGUUAAAGGCUGUGGCUCAACCAUAGUUCGCUUUGGAAACUGUCAAACUUGAGUGCAGAAGGGGAGAGUGGAAUUCCAUGUGUAGCGGUGAAAUGCGUAGAUAUAUGGAGGAACACCGGUGGCGAAAGCGGCUCUCUGGUCUGUAACUGACGCUGAGGCUCGAAAGCGUGGGGAGCGAACAGGAUUAGAUACCCUGGUAGUCCACGCCGUAAACGAUGAGUGCUAGUGUUGGAUCCUUUCCGGGAUUCAGUGCCGCAGCUAACGCAUUAAAGCACUCCGCCUGGGGAGUACGACCGCAAGGU